GGGUAACCUGCCCAAGAGAUCGGGAUAACACCUGGAAACGGAUGCUAAUACCGGAUAACAACAGAUGAUGCCUAUCAACUGUUUAAAAGAUGGUUCUGCUAUCACUCUUGGAUGGACCUGCGGUGCAUUAGCUAGUUGGUAGGGUAACGGCCUACCAAGGCGAUGAUGCAUAGCCGAGUUGAGAGACUGAUCGGCCACAUUGGGACUGAGACACGGCCCAAACUCCUACGGGAGGCAGCAGCC
RNAcentral lists this ribosomal RNA (243 nucleotides) under uncultured Lactobacillus sp. RNAcentral's name for it is "partial 16S ribosomal RNA". It matches the Rfam family "Bacterial small subunit ribosomal RNA", at positions 119 to 355 of the family's 1533-position model. The record is from RNAcentral. Lineage: Bacteria; Bacillati; Bacillota; Bacilli; Lactobacillales; Lactobacillaceae.